RNAcentral lists this unclassified non-coding RNA (207 nucleotides) under Funneliformis mosseae. RNAcentral describes it as "partial contains 5.8S ribosomal RNA and internal transcribed spacer 2". The stretch from base 1 to 71 matches the Rfam family "5.8S ribosomal RNA", at positions 84 to 154 of the family's 154-position model. The record is from RNAcentral. Lineage: Eukaryota; Fungi; Glomeromycota; Glomeromycetes; Glomerales; Glomeraceae.
GUGAAUCAUCAAAUUUCUGAACGCAAAUUGCACUCCCUGGUAUUCCGGGGAGUAUGCCUGUUUGAGGGUCGUUAGAACAAAAAUCGCAGCGUCGCUCUUUUUUUUAAGGGUGAUUGCGUCGGAAUUGAGCCGUCUUUCAAAUGUGAAUUCAUGUCAAAGUGGCUUGCAACUCAUCCCUCCGGUACGACUAAAGCGUAUUUAAUAUAA